This 484-nucleotide ribosomal RNA is filed under the name uncultured bacterium. RNAcentral's name for it is "partial 16S ribosomal RNA". It matches the Rfam family "Bacterial small subunit ribosomal RNA", at positions 30 to 507 of the family's 1533-position model. The record is from RNAcentral.
AUUGAACGCUGGCGGCAGGCCUAACACAUGCAAGUCGAGCGGAUGAAGGGAGCUUGCUCCUGGAUUCAGCGGCGGACGGGUGAGUAAUGCCUAGGAAUCUGCCUGGUAGUGGGGGAUAACGUCCGGAAACGGGCGCUAAUACCGCAUACGUCCUGAGGGAGAAAGUGGGGGAUCUUCGGACCUCACGCUAUCAGAUGAGCCUAGGUCGGAUUAGCUAGUUGGUGGGGUAAAGGCCUACCAAGGCGACGAUCCGUAACUGGUCUGAGAGGAUGAUCAGUCACACUGGAACUGAGACCCGGUCCAGACUCCUACGGGAGGCAGCAGUCGGGAAUAUUGGACAAUGGGCGAAAGCCUGAUCCAGCCAUGCCGCGUGUGUGAAGAAGGUCUUCGGAUUGUAAAGCACUUUAAGUUGGGAGGAAGGGCAGUAAGUUAAUACCUUGCUGUUUUGACGUUACCAACAGAAUAAGCACCGGCUAACUUCGUG